Molecule: ribosomal RNA, 777 nt
Filed under: uncultured Neocallimastigales
Lineage: Eukaryota; Fungi; Neocallimastigomycota; Neocallimastigomycetes; Neocallimastigales
Description: partial large subunit ribosomal RNA
Rfam family: Eukaryotic large subunit ribosomal RNA
Source: RNAcentral
AGAGAGAGACAUGCGCGCAUAUCAAUAAGCGGAGGAAAAGAAACUAACAAGGAUUCCCUUAGUAACGGCGAGUGAAGCGGGAAGAGCUCAAAUUUGAAAUCUUCAAGGUUUUACCUUGACGAAUUGUAGUUUAAAGAAGUGUUUUCUGCUGAAGUUUUGGUAAAAGUUCUUUGGAAUAGGACAUCAUAGAGGGUGAGAAUCCCGUAUUUGACCAUUAUUUUCAGCUUUGUGAUACACUUUCAAAGAGUCGGAUUGUUUGGGAAUGCAGUCCAAAAUGGGUGGUAAAUUUCAUCUAAAGCUAAAUAUUGGCGAGAGACCGAUAGCGAACAAGUACCGUGAGGGAAAGAUGAAAAGAACUUUGAAAAGAGAGUUGAACAGUACGUGAAAUUGUCAAAAGGGAAGCGUUUGACACCAGUGUUGUUUUCUCGAAAAUCAAUUAAAAAUGGCUCGAUUUUGUAUUGUUGAGACCUUAAAAGCUCACUGUACAUUUUUCGUGUCUUUUUUAAUGCACUUUUCGUUUAACAAGUCAACAUCAGUUUCUUUUGUUGUAAAAGGGUCAUUGGAAGGUGGCUUUCUUUUCGGAGAAAGUGUUUAUAGCCUUUGGCCUCUGCAAUCGGAGAGACUUGAGGUCUGCAGCGUAGAUCCUUCGGGGUUAGAUACAUUUGUGCUAAGUUAUAGCCUUUUCAUAGACAACUUGUUGACUAUAAUCAGUCAUGUAGCUUACUCGCUUAGUGCUAUUUUACCUACGCUUAGGAUGUUGAGUCGUAGAGCACGCAG